GGGAAUAUUGCACAAUGGGGGAAACCCUGAUGCAGCGACGCCGCGUGAGUGAAGAAGUAUUUCGGUACGUAAAGCUCUAUCAGCAGGGAAGAAAAAAAGUCCUUUGGACUUUGGACGGUACCUGACUAAGAAGCCCCGGCUAACUACGUGCCAGCAGCCGCGGUAAUACGUAGGGGGCAAGCGUUAUCCGGAUUUACUGGGUGUAAAGGGAGCGUAGACGGUGAUGCAAGUCAGAAGUGAAAGCCCGGGGCUCAACUCCGGGACUGCUUUUGAAACUGUGUGACUGGAGUGCAGGAGAGGUAAGCGGAAUUCCUGGUGUAGCGGUGAAAUGCGUAGAUAUCAGGAGGAACACCAGUGGCGAAGGCGGCUUACUGGACUGUAACUGACGUUGAGGCUCGAAAGCGUGGGGAGCAAACAG
This 418-nucleotide ribosomal RNA is filed under the name uncultured bacterium. RNAcentral describes it as "bacterial SSU rRNA". It matches the Rfam family "Bacterial small subunit ribosomal RNA", at positions 357 to 775 of the family's 1533-position model. The record is from RNAcentral.